AGCGAACGCUGGCGGCAGGCCUAACACAUGCAAGUCGAACGAACUCUUCGGAGUUAGUGGCGGACGGGUGAGUAACGCGUGGGAACGUGCCUUUAGGUUCGGAAUAACUCAGGGAAACUUGUGCUAAUACCGAAUGUGCCCUUCGGGGGAAAGAUUUAUCGCCUUUAGAGCGGCCCGCGCCUGAUUAGCUAGUUGGUGAGGUAAUGGCUCACCAAGGCGACGAUCAGUAGCUGGUCUGAGAGGAUGAUCAGCCACAUUGGGACUGAGACACGGCCCAAACUCCUACGGGAGGCAGCAGGAGGGAAGCUUGCGCAAUGGGCGAAAGCCUGACGCAGCCAUGCCGCGUGAAUGAUGAAGGUCUUAGGAUUGUAAAAUUCUUUCACCGGGGACGAUAAUGACGGUACCCGGAGAAGAAGCCCCGGCUAACUUCGUGCCAGCCGCCGCGGUAA
This 449-nucleotide ribosomal RNA is filed under the name uncultured bacterium. Its description in RNAcentral is "partial 16S ribosomal RNA". It matches the Rfam family "Bacterial small subunit ribosomal RNA", at positions 29 to 523 of the family's 1533-position model. The record is from RNAcentral.